This 253-nucleotide ribosomal RNA is filed under the name uncultured bacterium. RNAcentral's name for it is "partial 16S ribosomal RNA". It matches the Rfam family "Bacterial small subunit ribosomal RNA", at positions 524 to 776 of the family's 1533-position model. The record is from RNAcentral.
UACGGAGGAUCCAAGCGUUAUCCGGAUUCAUUGGGUUUAAAGGGUGCGUAGGCGGAAUUGUAAGUCAGUGGUGAAAUCCCUUCGCUUAACGAAGGAACUGCCAUUGAUACUGCAAAUCUUGAGUACAUUUGAUGAGGGCGGAAUGUGUCAUGUAGCGGUGAAAUGCUUAGAUAUGACACAGAACACCGAUUGCGAAGGCAGCUCUCAAAACUGUAACUGACGCUGAGGCACGAAAGCGUGGGUAUCAAACAGG